This 459-nucleotide ribosomal RNA is filed under the name uncultured bacterium. RNAcentral's name for it is "partial 16S ribosomal RNA". It matches the Rfam family "Bacterial small subunit ribosomal RNA", at positions 338 to 795 of the family's 1533-position model. The record is from RNAcentral.
CCUACGGGAGGCAGCAGUGGGGAAUAUUGGUCAAUGGUCGGGAGACUGAACCAGCCAAGCCGCGUGAGGGAUGAAGGUACAGAGUAUCGUAAACCUCUUUUGUCAGGGAACAAAGGCGGGGACGCGUCCCCGGAUGAGUGUACCUGAAGAAAAAGCAUCGGCUAACUCCGUGCCAGCAGCCGCGGUAAUACGGAGGAUGCGAGCGUUGUCCGGAUUUAUGGGGUUAAAGGGGUGGGCAGGCGGUCUGUUAAGUCAGCGGUAAAAGCCCGGGGCCCACCCCCGGCCCGCCGUUGAAACUGGCAGUCUCGAGUUGGAGAGAAGUAUGCGGAAUGCGCGGUGUAGCGGUGAAAUGCAUAGAUAUCGCGCAGAACUCCGAUUGCGAAGGCAGCAUGCCGGCUCCACACUGACGCUGAGGCACGAAAGCGUGGGUAUCGAACAGGAUUAGAUACCCGAGUAGUC